This 468-nucleotide ribosomal RNA is filed under the name uncultured bacterium. Its description in RNAcentral is "partial 16S ribosomal RNA". It matches the Rfam family "Bacterial small subunit ribosomal RNA", at positions 28 to 507 of the family's 1533-position model. The record is from RNAcentral.
GACGAACGCUGGCGGCGUGCUUAACACAUGCAAGUCGAACGGAAAGGCCCUGCUUUUGUGGGGUGCUCGAGUGGCGAACGGGUGAGUAACACGUGAGUAACCUGCCCUUGACUUUGGGAUAACUUCAGGAAACUGGGGCUAAUACCGGAUAGGAGCGCCUGCUGCAGGGUGGGGGUUGGAAAGUUUCGGCGGUUGGGGAUGGACUCGCGGCUUAUCGGCUUGUUGGUGGGGUAGUGGCUUACCAAGGCUUUGACGGGUAGCCGGCCUGAGAGGGUGACCGGCCACAUUGGGACUGAGAUACGGCCCAGACUCCUACGGGAGGCAGCAGUGGGGAAUAUUGCACAAUGGGCGGAAGCCUGAUGCAGCAACGCCGCGUGCGGGAUGACGGCCUUCGGGUUGUAAACCGCUUUCGCCUGUGACGAAGCGUGAGUGACGGUAAUGGGUAAAGAAGCACCGGCUAACUACGUG